UACGUAGGGUGCAAGCGUUGUCCGGAAUUAUUGGGCGUAAAGAGCUCGUAGGCGGUCUGUCGCGUCUGCUGUGAAAACUCGGGGCUUAACCCCGGGGCUGCAGUGGGUACGGGCAGACUAGAGUGCGGUAGGGGAGACUGGAAUUCCUGGUGUAGCGGUGAAAUGCGCAGAUAUCAGGAGGAACACCGGUGGCGAAGGCGGGUCUCUGGGCCGUAACUGACGCUGAGGAGCGAAAGCGUGGGGAGCGAACAGG
Molecule: ribosomal RNA, 253 nt
Filed under: uncultured bacterium
Lineage: Bacteria
Description: partial 16S ribosomal RNA
Rfam family: Bacterial small subunit ribosomal RNA
Source: RNAcentral